GCACCUACCGAUUGAAUGGUUCGGUGAAAAUCUCGGACUGCGGCUUGGGUGCCUUCGGGCAGCCAAGCUGUGGAAAGUUGUUUAAACCUCAUCAUUUAGAGGAAGGUGAAGUCGUAACAAGGUUUCCGUAGGUGAACCUGCAGAAGGAUCAAUAUCGAUAGGACGUCCUUUAGGGAAAGAGUGUGGGUAUCGGUCGUCGGCGGACGAAUAAAAAAAAAAAAAAAAUAAACGAGAGAAAGAUCGAGCUAGCUACACGUAUCAGCAGAGUGGCGCAGA
Molecule: unclassified non-coding RNA, 276 nt
Filed under: sea anemone metagenome
Description: partial contains small subunit ribosomal RNA and internal transcribed spacer 1
Rfam family: Eukaryotic small subunit ribosomal RNA (bases 1-154)
Source: RNAcentral